CCUACGGGUGGCAGCAGUGAGGAAUAUUGGUCAAUGGGCGGAAGCCUGAACCAGCCAAGUCGCGUGAGGGAUUAAGGCCCUGCGGGUCGUAAACCUCUUUUGCCGGGGAGCAGAGGUCCGGACGUGUCCGGGCCGGGAGAGUACCCGGAGAAAAAGCAUCGGCUAACUCCGUGCCAGCAGCCGCGGUAAUACGGAGGAUGCGAGCGUUAUCCGGAUUUAUUGGGUUUAAAGGGUGCGCAGGCGGAAUGUCAAGUCAGCGGUAAAAUUUCGGGGCUCAACCCCGUCGUGCCGUUGAAACUGGCGUUCUUGAGUGAGCGAGAAGUAUGCGGAAUGCGUGGUGUAGCGGUGAAAUGCAUAGAUAUCACGCAGAACUCCGAUUGCGAAGGCAGCAUACCGGCGCUCAACUGACGCUCAUGCACGAAAGCGUGGGUAUCGAACAGGAUUAGAUACCCCUGUAGUC
Molecule: ribosomal RNA, 460 nt
Filed under: uncultured bacterium
Lineage: Bacteria
Description: partial 16S ribosomal RNA
Rfam family: Bacterial small subunit ribosomal RNA
Source: RNAcentral